RNAcentral lists this ribosomal RNA (1355 nucleotides) under uncultured bacterium. RNAcentral's name for it is "partial 16S ribosomal RNA". It matches the Rfam family "Bacterial small subunit ribosomal RNA", at positions 31 to 1401 of the family's 1533-position model. The record is from RNAcentral.
GAACGCUGGCGGCGCGCCUAACACAUGCAAGUCGAACGAUUAAAGCACCUUCGGGUGUGUAUAAAGUGGCGAACGGCUGAGUAACACGUGGGCAACCUGCCCCUCUCAUUGGGAUAGCCACGGGAAACCGUGGAUAAUACCGAAUACUUCGAGACUUCCGCAUGGAAGACUCGAGAAAGCUCCGGCGGAGAGGGAUGGGCCCGCGGCCUGUUAGCUUGUUGGUGGGGUAACGGCCUACCAAGGCAAUGAUGGGUAGCUGGGUUGNGNGNCCGNCCCGCCCGNUUGGGNCUGNGNCNCGGCCCNGNCUCCUNCGGGNGGCNGCCGUGGGGAUUCUUGCNCCNUGGGCGNNNGCCUGNUGCNGCGNCGCCGCGUGCGGGNUGNNGGCCUUCGGGUUGUNNNCCGCUUUCNGCCGGGNCGNGGCGNNNGUGNCGGUNCCUGCNGNNGNNGCCCCGGCUNNCUNCGUGCCNGCCGCCGCGGUNNUNCGUNGGGGGCCNGCGUUUUCCGGNUUCCUUGGGCGUNNNGCGCUCGUNGGCGGUCUGUUNGGUCGGGNGUUNNUUCCGGGGGAUCAGCCCCCCGCUCGCUCCCGUAACCGGGCCAAUAUAAGUUUGGUAGGGGAAAGGGGGGAAUUCCCUAGUGUAGCGGUGGAAUGCCCAGAUUUAAGGGAAGACCCCCAGGGGGGAAGGCGGCCUUUUGGGCCAUAACGGACGCUGAGGAGCGAAAGCUAGGGGAGCAAACAGGAUUAGAUACCCUGGUAGUCCUAGCCGUAAACGAUGGACACUAGGUGUGGGGGAAUAUUUCUUCCGUGCCGCAGCUAACGCAUUAAGUGUCCCGCCUGGGGAGUACGGCCGCAAGGCUAAAACUCAAAGGAAUUGACGGGGGCCCGCACAAGCAGCGGAGCAUGUGGUUUAAUUCGAAGCAACGCGAAGAACCUUACCAGGGCUUGACAUUUAGGUGAAGCGGCGGAAACGUCGUGGCCGAAAGGAGCCUAAACAGGUGGUGCAUGGCUGUCGUCAGCUCGUGUCGUGAGAUGUUAGGUUAAGUCCUGCAACGAGCGCAACCCUCGUCGUAUGUUGCCAGCGGUUAGGCCGGGCACCCAUACGAGACCGCCGGCGUCAAGCCGGAGGAAGGUGGGGACGACGUCAAGUCAUCAUGCCCCUUAUGUCCUGGGCUACACACGUGCUACAAUGGCCGGCACAAUGGGCUGCCAACCCGCGAGGGUGAGCGAAUCCCUAAAGCCGGUCCCAGUUCGGAUUGGAGGCUGCAACCCGCCUCCAUGAAGUCGGAGUUGCUAGUAAUCGCGGAUCAGCACGCCGCGGUGAAUGAGUUCCCGGGCCUUGCACUCACCGCCCGUCAAG